UACGGAGGAUGCAAGCGUUAUCCGGAUUCAUUGGGUUUAAAGGGUGCGUAGGCGGACUAUUAAGUCAGUGGUGAAAGCCUGCAGCUUAACUGCAGAACUGCCAUUGAUACUGAUAGUCUUGAGUUUGGUUAAGGUAGGCGGAAUAUGUAAUGUAGCGGUGAAAUGCUUAGAUAUUACACAGAACACCAAUUGCGUAGGCAGCUUACUGAGCCGACACUGACGCUGAGGCACGAAAGCGUGGGGAUCGAACA
RNAcentral lists this ribosomal RNA (251 nucleotides) under uncultured prokaryote. RNAcentral describes it as "partial 16S ribosomal RNA". It matches the Rfam family "Bacterial small subunit ribosomal RNA", at positions 524 to 774 of the family's 1533-position model. The record is from RNAcentral.